RNAcentral lists this ribosomal RNA (442 nucleotides) under uncultured bacterium. RNAcentral describes it as "partial 16S ribosomal RNA". It matches the Rfam family "Bacterial small subunit ribosomal RNA", at positions 338 to 795 of the family's 1533-position model. The record is from RNAcentral.
CCUACGGGUGGCAGCAGUGGGGACUAUUGGGCAAUGGGCGCAAGCCUGACCCAGCAACGCCGCGUGAAGGAAGAAGGCUUUCGGGUUGUAAACUUCUUUUAAGAGGGAAGAGCAGCAGACGGUACCUCUUGAAUAAGCCACGGCUAACUACGUGCCAGCAGCCGCGGUAAUACGUAGGGAGCAAGCGUUAUCCGGAUUUAUUGGGUGUAAAGGGUGCGUAGACGGAGAAGCAAGUUAGUUGUGAAAUCCCUCGGCUUAACUGAGGAACUGCAACUAAAACUACUUCCCUUGAGUACUGGAGAGGAAAGUGGAAUUCCUAGUGUAGCGGUGAAAUGCGUAGAUAUCAGGAGGAACACCGGUGGCGAAGGCGGCCUGCUGGACUGCGACUGACGUUGAGGCCCGAAAGCGUGGGGAGCAAACAGGAUUAGAUACCCCAGUAGUC